RNAcentral lists this ribosomal RNA (245 nucleotides) under uncultured Lactobacillus sp. RNAcentral's name for it is "partial 16S ribosomal RNA". It matches the Rfam family "Bacterial small subunit ribosomal RNA", at positions 122 to 355 of the family's 1533-position model. Lineage: Bacteria; Bacillati; Bacillota; Bacilli; Lactobacillales; Lactobacillaceae. The record is from RNAcentral.
CCGUCGACCCAAGAGAGUCGGGAAUAACCACCGUAGGAAACAGAUGACUAAUACGGAUAACAACAGAUGAUGCCUAUCAACUGUUUAAAAGAUGGUUCUGCUAUCACUCUUGGAUGGACCUGCGGUGCAUUAGCUAGUUGGUAGGGUAACGGCCUACCAAGGCGAUGAUGCAUAGCCGAGUUGAGAGACUGAUCGGCCACAUUGGGACUGAGACACGGCCCAAACUCCUACGGGAGGCAGCAGUC